GGAAGCCGGUGUAAAUCCGGUGCGGUCGCGCCACUGUAAUCAGCCUGAGAGGGCUGAAAGUCAGAC
RNAcentral lists this non-coding RNA (66 nucleotides) under Granulibacter bethesdensis. Lineage: Bacteria; Pseudomonadati; Pseudomonadota; Alphaproteobacteria; Acetobacterales; Acetobacteraceae. The record is from RNAcentral.